UUAUACUUAAAUUCAUAAAAUGUGUGAAAAGUACAUCAGGUUCAGUGGCGCUUUUGGGCGUUAUCGUACUUUCUUAAUUUUAAUUUAAAUUUUCUUUGACGUUACGAUUUAGUUGAAGAAUGCGAAUUUAGGAAAGAAACGACGACAACUACAAAACUACAAUUAAAGCGCUGCUUUCUACAUGGGGGCUUGCCAUACUGCCCUAUGUUAAGCAAACGCCGAACCACCUACUACCUGAAUUCUACAAUGGUACUUAAGAAAAUAUAUAAGUAUUUACAUAUGUACAUAUGUAUGCUCAUGAAAUCGUAAGCGAAAAGUAACGGUCAAGCAUCGCAUUUGUUUUCGUUAUUUUUUGGAAAGGGCAUAGCAGAAAUUGAAAAAAAACUUCGAUUGCUGUUUGGUUGCGCGGCUUCAAUGCACCGAAUUUAAUUUACAAAAUUAAUAAUAACACAAGAACCGUUUGUUUUAUUUUGUUUUUAGCGUUUUCGCAAUGCUCAAGCGCAGCUGUGUUUGCCGGUUGACGGGAGAAGUGGGGCAAGCGCAAUUUUAUUAGGAAUACAUAAUAUUCUUAUAUUACAACAGGCGACUUUUAUACAAUAAGUGAAGGAAAAUAUGUUGGACAGCCUAGAGAGGAAAUCUAAGCAACUGGAGCUUUUUUUAACUGCGGUAACACAGCUGAAACAAAUUAUAUAUUAAAUCCCUUUAAUCACUAUCCAAGUGUGGUGAUACUAUCGGAUGUUCGUUCCUUACGGUGUACACUACCAAAAUUUUAAAAAAUGGUGGUCUGAGCAUUAUGUUAUGGGCUUGCUUUUCGUACUAUGGUGUAGUCUUCCAUACUGGUAAAUGUUUAUAAUAAGGACGUUUGAACUGGAUAACGACUCAAAACAUACGAGCAAACUAGCUAGAGUCGUUUGCAUCAAAAAGGAUCGAAGUAUUGUUCUGGCCAGCGCAGGCACUGGAAAAGAAUUCAAUCGAAAAUGUUCAACUUACGCUGGUGGUCAAAGAGGCAUGGGCGCGAAUCCUUAAAAGGCGAGAUUUUUCCGUUUUAUGGUUAGAACCCACCGUCACUACUAUUUCCAUGAACACAUCUGUAUAUUCUCUCUGGAAAUUUCGAGGAAAACUUCGUAUAUCCUGUUCAGGAUAUAAAAACCCACAUUACCUUCACCAAUUCAUGAAACAUUUCGCCAUAAAAAACACAAUUGUUGGAGACAUUAAUGUUAGAAUUGGUCAGUAUAUUGCAUUAAAAUUAGUAUAUCCGAACUUACACUGCUACCAAUAUGAACAAAACUUAAUAUAAGUAUAUAAGUACAUAUCUCUAA
Long non-coding RNA from Bactrocera tryoni, 1319 nucleotides. RefSeq lists it as uncharacterized. The transcript is spliced from 3 exons. Lineage: Eukaryota; Metazoa; Arthropoda; Insecta; Diptera; Tephritidae. The record is from RefSeq and is a predicted model, not a curated record.